RNAcentral lists this unclassified non-coding RNA (229 nucleotides) under uncultured fungus. Its description in RNAcentral is "sequence contains ITS1, 5.8S rRNA gene". The stretch from base 181 to 229 matches the Rfam family "5.8S ribosomal RNA", at positions 1 to 49 of the family's 154-position model. Lineage: Eukaryota; Fungi. The record is from RNAcentral.
UCUCCGUAUGUGAACCUGCGGAGGGAUCAUUACUGAGUGAGGGCUUCGGUCCGACCUCCAACCCUUUGUGAACCAAACUUGUUGCUUCGGGGGCGACCCUGCCAUCGUGCGAGGCGCUCCCGGUGGCCAAUUAUUAAACUCUGCAUCUCUUGCGUCGGAGUCUUAAAGAAAUUUAAACAAAACUUUCAACAACGGAUCUCUUGGUUCUGGCAUCGAUGAAGAACGCAGC